This 367-nucleotide long non-coding RNA is filed under the name Mytilus galloprovincialis (Mediterranean mussel). Lineage: Eukaryota; Metazoa; Mollusca; Bivalvia; Mytilida; Mytilidae. The record is from RNAcentral.
UUUUUUUUUUUGUACUACUGUUUGUCUGGGGUUUUUUUAUACUACUGUUUGUCUGGGUUUUUUUGUACUACUGUUUGUCUGGGUUUUUUUGUACUACUGUUUGUCUGGUUUUUUUUGUACUAAUGUUUGUCUGGUUUUUUUUUUGUACUACUGUUUGUCUGGGUUUUUUUGUAGUACUGUUUGUCAGGGUUUUUUUUCUAUUCUAACCAUUUUCAUUUUUGACUUGUUUGAAUAUCCCUUUACUAUCGUUCGCCUCUCUUUGACGUUUAUUUCGAUGAAACGUAAGUGCAAAUACAGGUUUGUCCACAUCUUAUCAGCGACCGAAAAUUGAUAUAACUUGGCGUAACUUGACAUAAAGAGAAAAAAA